Vespula vulgaris is the source of this 8774-nucleotide long non-coding RNA. RefSeq lists it as uncharacterized. The transcript is spliced from 6 exons. The record is from RefSeq and is a predicted model, not a curated record. NCBI's taxonomy places the organism in Eukaryota, Metazoa, Arthropoda, Insecta, Hymenoptera, Vespidae.
GAUAGGAAACUAUGUACAUAACUAUGUUACAUAUGUCUAAUCCUUAUGUCGGUAAGGUAGAUUUCCAUAUCCCUUAUUCAUAAUUACAUAGUUUCUUUUAUUUUAAGUCUUGGGUCAGCAUAGAACGUAACGAUAUAGUAGUAAGGAAAAAAGCAAAAUGCAUAAUAUAAAUCACUAAAGAUUUUUUUUACUAUAAUUGUCGUUUUUAUUAUCAUAUUUUAUAGUAAUAAAGUUUAUGUAAAGGUAAAAAACAAAUAAUCUUGAAUCAGCAAACAUUCAAAAUUAUUAAUCAAGAAGCAAGAACAAGUGAUAUUUCCAUAUUGUGACUUGUAAUUAAAUUGUUAAAAUAAAUGUGGAAGAAAAUAAAGGAGAAAACGAGAAAUAUGGAGCAAACAAAAGAAGAAAAAGUGCGAAAGAAAAAAAGAUUUAAAAAAAAGAGAAAAGGAACUAAUUUUAUAGGAAUAUGCAGCGAAGAUUAUUUAGUUACAUAAAUAGUGUUUCGAAGCAGUUAUCCGGAAUUUAUUUGAAAUUAAAUACUGUGGAGAAUUUAAAAAGAAUUGAAAUUCAGUCAAAAGAAAAUCAACUAAUAAAUUAAAGUAAAAUGGAAAACGUUGUAUUGUAAAUAUCUAUCGAUAAUAUCGUGAGAAUAUAAUAAAAUUAUUGAUAGAAUGAAAAGGAUAAUAUAAUAAAUAUUAUUAUUGAAACUUAUUUAUUUGUUGAAUAUAUUAAUGCCAUAAUUCGGCAACGUAUCAAAGCAAAUAAUUCAAAUGUACUUAAGAGCACAUAAGGACUGAAAAUGUAAUUAAAUGAAAUUUUGAAUAAAUAAGGACUAAAACAGUUUUUAAUAAGACAAGAUGGAAAGUUCUGUUAGAUCACUCACAUAGCUUUCAAAGUUCUUAGAACAUAAUAUUUGGCAUUUCUUGGUGAUAAAAAAUAAUAAAAAACAAGUAAACAACAAAUAAACACUUACAGUUGUAAUAAAUACUAUUGAAGAAAAAUCUAUUUUGUGUUAUUAUAAUAUAUUUUUAACAAUAAGGUAAUGUAGUAGUAAUGCAUAUAAAAUUAAGUAAUAUAUUUUAUAGAAACGGACAAAAAUUUUUAAAUAAAUUUUGAAUUAACUAUUAAAAGAAUUGUCUACUUUGAUACUAAAGACUCUUUAUUAAAAGAUUUUACACUUUAUGUUCAUAACAAAACAAUUCUGAUCAUAAUAUUUUAAAAAUUUAUGUAGUAAUUUUAUUUUUGUUUUAUUAGAUCCUAAAUAAAUAUUCUUGAUUUUAUUUUUCUGCAUCUACAAAAUAUAGAUUGAAUAAAACAGCCAAAAUAUCUAAAUAAACAUUACUAGUGGAUUACAUUAUGUAAAAUUAUUUGCAUGUUGUUAUGCAAACUGUUUCUCAUCAUCGUUACUGGAAGAUAAGCUAAACUGAUUAAUACAUCGAAUUAAAAAUAUGGUAAUUGGCUUUUGUCAAAAAAGAGAUUUAAAGCUUUUUUAAAGUAAAAAAAACAUUUUUGUAUUAAAAAUGCUUUUUUUUAUGAAAAAAGAAAUGUUUCUAUAAAAAGUAUUUGUUAAUGAUCAUAGAUUGUCAAAACUUGUAAGUCAAAUUCAGGCAAGUAACAAUAAAUACAGAUCACUUUGAUGCAUUUGGUAAAUGAAAAUAGGCAUUGUUACUUAUAGCAUAUGUAAAAUUACACUAGAGAAGAUGAUGAACAAUUUUUUUCAUUUUCUCAUUUAUGAAAACAGGAGACUCUAUUAUAUGUAAAGAUAUUAUUUAAAAGACCAACAUUUAAAUGAUACAAAAUUUUGAAAUAUCCAAAGCAAUACGCAAUACUUUUAUCUAUUGAUUUACAUUUCUUUACUUUGAAAAUCUUUUUGCAGAUGUUUCAAUAAUCAUAGGAUAACUCUAACGAUUUGUUGCAUCAAAUAAAUUGUGUUUUUUAAUAGGGAAAAAAUAUAUAAGAAAAUAAUCUUAUAAAAAUACAAUAUUUGCUUUAACAAUAUCUGUAUGUGCAAAUUGCAGAAUUUCUGAAGAUAUGUAUAUAUUAAGUGCUUAAUGGUUAAAAACUUCACAAAUCGACAAUAAAAGUGUCUCAUUUAUGAAAUCAUAUAAGCAAACAUUAAAUAAUAAGAGUACUUUAAAUAACAUGAAAAAUAAUUAAUAUAAUAAAUAUAAUAAUAUAUAAAUAUAAUAAAGAAUAAUAAAUAUAAAAUAUUUAAAGAAUGUUGAUAUGUUAAUUAUUAACAUAUUAUGGAUAGAUGAGAAUAUAUUUUGUAUUUUCUAAAUAUAAAUUGAGAAUAGUACUAUUCAGUAACAAGUGUUAAUAGUUACAGAUUUUACCUGAUUAACACUCAUUUUUUUAAUGUAUAUAGAAUAUAUCAAAUACUCGAUCCUCAAAGUAAAAUAAGAUAUAAAGAUUUUCCUUUCGAAGUGGGAAGAAAUUGGCUUAUUUCUAAAAAAAUAGACAAAUCAACAGAUUUAGGAAAAAUUGCAUCAGGUCAUUAAAAUAUUAUUAAUUACUCCAUGUAUAGAUCAUAGAUUAACAAUAUCGUUAAUUAUUCCGCAACAGAUUCACAGGAAAAUAAAUGAAACACUCUAUUUGCAAGCAUUGAGGUGUUUUGCUUGACUCACUUGAAUAAUAGUUUACUAAAUAUCAUAUUUUAAAAAAAAUUUUGGUAUGUAAAAUUUAUAUUGAAAACACAUAUUUAACAACCGAAAACAAAUAUUUAACAUGAUGAUGAUUUUUAACUACUAAUAAAUCAUAAGAAUUUUUAAAAUAUUUGAUGUAAAAAAAAAAGAUGUUUUCAAUUUUUGAUAAUUUCUGAUAAACAAAUUAUGAUAGAAAGUAUAAUUGGAAUUAUUUUAAAUAUUUUGCUGUUAAAAAUCACUCUAUAGUAUUAUUUAGAAUAAAAUAAAAUAAUUAGAAAGAGUAUAAUUAAAUAAUAAUAUUAACUCUUUAUUUAUUUAUAUAGUAAUGUCUUUGUAUGAUAGACUUUUGUACAUUUGUAUUAGUAGAUAUAAUAACACUGUGUAACUUAUAUAGGACUAAUAUGUAAUAUUCUCCUUCGGUUGCUGAUAAGUCAUCCUUUACCACUUCUAAUAAGAAGGGUCACCUUCUACAUUACUAAGGAUUGUAAUUAAACACCAUGUUCACAUUAAUGUUCCUAUAUGAUUUUUAAUUGCCAUUGAAUCAUUUCUCGCUAACAAGAUGAGAUUCUUUUUUUCUUCCUCAUAAAUAUCAGCCUACGUAUCAUGUAUACCGCACGCAUUAUUAUAUAUAUGUAUAGAUGCUAGUUUGAUCAAUCGAGUCAGAUUUUUUUCAAAAUUUUUUAAAGUAAAUAUUUUCGAAAAGUAUAUAGUUUAAGUUACAAUUUGAUAUAAAAUAUACUUUUGUUAAAGUUGUUCAUCAUCUCUAGCUUUAUAAGCCGUCAGCGGUUUACGUCAACAAUGAGAACAGGUGUAAUUCUUGAUCGAUUUUGAUGAAGAUCUCAUUUUAAAGACAAAGGUUAAAUCUAGGAAUCUACUUGAAUUUUUGAAAAAGCUUUAUUUUUUUUGAAAAAAAAUCGUGUUGAAAAAUGGUAUUUUUUCGAGAAUAGUUUAUUCACAAAUAUAAAGCAUCUUCAAAAAUUCAAAAAGUAGGAUUGAUAGAUUAAAUUUUCGUCUUUAAAAGGAGAUUUUGUUUAUCAAAAUCGAUUAAGAAUUAUGCCUAUUCUCAUCGCUAGCGUAAAUGCUAUUUUCGACAUUUUUCGCGGAAAAAAAAGGUAUAGUACUGUGGUAUCCCUCGAAAUUUGCGGCAAAAAAGCAGCUUAUAUCCUAACUACUGAUUUUCAUAUCGCGCUUGAAUGGUGUAUUUUGUUCUGUGAAGUAGUGAUUGUUUAUUUGUUUGUGUUUGUAAAUAAUUGAUGCUCAGAUUUUCUGAACAUUUCUAAACGCAAAGAAAUUUCGUAAAGAGUUUUCGCAAAGAGUUUUAUAAUGCUCGAAUGGAAACUAUAUUAACUUAUUUGAUCAUUUUAAUGAGCUUUGGGCAGAAAUACGUGUACAAUCAUUCAUGUUAAUGGAUCUGAAUUUUUUAAAUAUUGUUAAAUUUUGGAAAAAUUUGUAGUUCUUUUUAGAUUUUAUAGAUUAAAAAGAUAAAGAUUCUAACAUAAAGUAUAUACAUUUGUCGAUAAUUUUUUCAAAAUUAAUAAUUAGUGAACAUAUAUAUUAUUUCUAAUAAAGAUCAAAACACGAUUUCGUUUUCACAUUAUCUACAAGAUUUUUCUUCCAGCGUUACUUUAACGUUAUAGUUUUCUCUCUAGGAGUUUAGUUCAUAUUAUUACUAUUACCAUUACUAUUACUAUAAUGAUAAUAUGUAAUAUAAUAAUAUAAUAAUAUAAUAAUGAAAACAGUAAUAAGAAAAAUAUAUUUAUAUUAUGUACAUUAUGCCACAUAUGAUGAUGGUAAUUUAUGAUAAUAAAAGAAGAAAAAAUGCGUCAUUUUAUGUUAUGUCAUUAUCGCAUGAGCUUUCAACAAAUCGUAUCCUUGAUAAUUUCGACAUAUGAUCGCCCUUCGAUAGAUACGUCCUAUACAAACGAUCUAUGGUGAGUACGAAACGUUUCUUUUGUUUCAUCUGUUAUUGUUUCUCUUUGUCUUACUAUCUUAGAAUCGUAAUGUAUUUAUUUUCAUACUGUUUAAUAUGUAUAAAUUAUAUUUAAAUACAUUUUUAUUAUUAUAUUGUUAUAUUAUUAUUAUUAUUAUUAUUAUUAUUGUUGUUGUUGUUGUUGUUGUUGUUAUUGUUAUUAUUAUUGUUAUUGUUAUAUAAGUAUUCAUUAAUUGUUUUUAAGAAAACAAUUUGUUUUCGACAAAAUCUUACUUUUUAUCGCAAAUUUAUAUAUUACUUCUUAUAUAUUCAAUUAUUUUAAUUUUUUUCUUUCCAUUUAUCAUGAAAUAAAUGCGUCGUAUCACUACGCUGGAUCACUGCGAGAUGCAAUCACUAUUAAAAAAAAAUAUACAUACGAGAGACAGAAAAGUUCACAAAAUUUUCCAAAAUUAACAAUAUGUAAGAAAUUCAGAUCCAUUGACACGAAUGAUUGCACUCGUAUUUCCUAUUUUUACCAUUUUUUAUUUUUGUUCAAAGCUCAUUAAAAUGAUCAAGAGAGUUAUCGUAGUUUCCAUUCGAGCAUCGUAAAACACAUUUCUUUGCGUUUGGAAAUGUUCAGAAAAUCCGAACAUCAGUUAUUUACGCAUACAAACAAGCAGGCAAUCGCUACUUCACUGAACAAAAUACACGCCAUUACCAUUCAAGCGUGAUAUGAAAAUCAGUAGUUGGGAUACAAGAUUCUUUUUCUUCGCUGUAAGUUUUGAAGGACGUCACAAUCCAAAACUUUUUCUUCGAUGAGAACAGAAGUAAUUUUUGAAAAGUAAUACUCUCACUCAAUUUUAAUAAACAAGGUUUUCGUUUCAUUUUAAAAACGAAGGUUUAAUCUAGGACUCUACUUUUUGGAACUUCUAAAACAGUUUUUUAUUUGUACAUUAAUUAUUAUCGACUAAAUACUAUUUUUUAAUACUUAACAUUUUUUUUCAAGAAAAUAAAACUUUCAAAAAUUUAGAAAGUAGAUUCCUAUUAACGUUUGUCUUUAAAAUGAGAGCUUGUAAAUUAAAAUUAGUCAAGAAUUACGUCUAUUCUCAUUAAUAGCGUAAAUCGUUAUAAAACUAGGGGCAAUGAAUAGCUUUAAUCGUAGUUGGUCGUAUCAUGUUAUAUUCGAUUUAUGUAUAAAUGAUAUAUAUGCGGUUAUGCAUGUAUAGAUAAUACACACAUACAUCGUACAGCAUAUAUUUGAGUGUCAUAAACAUAAAUAUAUAUGUGUAUAUACGUGAUAAAUAUGGUACUAAUAUGUAAUAUACAUACGUAUAUAUCUAACACUCAUUAUAAAUAAAUAUAUAUACAUACAUACAUGUACAUAUGUAUACAAUAUAUUUAAGAUUUUUAAUCUCAAUUCAUCUCUUUUUCUCACUUUGACGAGCGUCUAUUUUUUGUUUGGGAUUGUUAUUGCCUAGCGCGUUGUACAAUAUACGUAAAUAAUUGAGAUAUGGAUUAAUAUGAAUCAGUGGUUCGAAAGAAAACUCUAGGAUUUGAAAGAUAAGAAAGGACGUUCUAUAAGUACUUGUUGUUGAUAAGAUAUUAGUAGUCUGCUUAUAUUAUCGUUUAAAAUUAUUUUAAAAACUUUCAGUAAAUUUCUAAACCUCGAUUUUAGAUAUACAAUCUUAUUUUAUAUUAAUAAAGCUUUCACGUUUUACAGGUUAUAGUAUAUAAAAUGCUACGAAUCGACCAAGUUCGCAAUACAGAGCACAGUAAAAAUCGUGUGUUAUGUUUCUUUUUGUAUGUAUCCCAGGAAAUGAUAUGUUCUUGAAAAUUUGUUUUUGUGUAUACGAAUUCACGAAAUUGUAGCAGAGAUGGAUAUAGGUGACCUCUCCUUCUCAAAAUAAUACGAUACCUAUAAACGAUAAACACACUCGGCUAUUCUCCUGUGUGGAGAUUAUGAUUGCAGUUGUUCUUACAACCAUAGAUAUAUCGAUCUUUAUGUCGAUAAAAUAAAAGAAGAUUUGUAAAGUAGAUUUGUUGUUAAUAUUGUUCCGAUUAAUUUAAAUUUGUUUGUGUUUUAUGAUUUUAAAUAUCUUUUAGGAGUAUGUGCAUAUGAAUAAUCUGCGUGCAAAGCAAUCAUAGAAUCAAUGUUUAUUGGUAUAAAAUUUUAUUUAUUCUUUUUUCUUAUAGUUAGGUUAUAGAUACUUAUAUAUAGAACAAAAAAUAGAUACUCGCGAAUUAAUUGCAUUGUUUGCUUCAUAAUUAUUAAAUAAUUAUCGUAUUAAUGCAUCAUGGAAGAUAAUGAAGAAUCUAGUACACUUAUUUUAUCAAACAAUAGUAAUAAAUCAUCAUUGUAUUAUCGUUAAGUCAAUAUCAAUAUUAUGAAUUCAAUCUAAUAAAUUUUCAAUCUAUAUCAUAAAAUAAAAUAAAUUUGGAACCUAUCAUGGAUCAGUUUAUAUAAAUUUCGAUUUACAACAUGAGCGAGUUUUGGAAUCAUAGUAGAUCAGUAGUGAAUGAACAUAUUUAAGUCCCUCCAGUACUUAUCACGUCGAGGAUAAAAGAUUCGACUUAACGCGAGUUAUUGGUUGUAAUCUUUUCAAUAAAUUAUUGAUGAAUAUAAUUAUUAGUCAUUGCUUUUUUGGAUAUUAUCCAAUUAUUAUUAGAGCAAUACACUUUUAAUAGUGUUUUCAUAUUUUUUUUUAUUAUGUAUAUUUAUUUUUUUUAACUCAGUAUGGAGUCUUUUUUGUUUUAUCGAUUCAGAUCCUUUAAUUAAUAGUACAUUUAAUUAAUAUAUUUAUUCGCAUUUGCCCACGAUAUUAGUAGUGAAAUUUGCCAUUUAUUUAUGCGAUAUCAUUAAAAAAGUACGCUAUAUUUAUUGUUUCCUACUUAUAAUUAUCAACUUAAUCGCUGUUUUCACAUUUUCAAUGUUUUCUGCAGCUCGUACUAUAGGAGCAACAUCAAUUGAUUUUUUCUUUAUUGCAAAAGCACUCCGUCAAAAAUAUCGAAUCCAUAUGUUUUACGGCGAAGAACCAUGAUGCGGAAUUUGAAAAUGUAUUCGUAAUAAUUGCUGUGUUUUAAUAACCAAUUUACUAUUCUUAAGAAACAUUUUUAUUAUCACUGUACAAUGUUGUUCGUUUUAUUGUCUCAUGCUUAUUGAAAUGACAUCAAAGAAGUUAUCUCCUCUUUUAAACUUUAUAAUAUUGAUUGACACAAUUGACGGUAUUCGACAAUAAAAAGUCAUGUGAUUCCUAUAUCCCACUCUGUAAUACUAUCUACUAAUAUUUAUAUUAAAAGUAGUUACUUAUAUUGAAGAAAAAUAUUGAAUAAUUUUUAAUAUUUAAUUAUUAUAAUGAUAAUGGAUAGAAUAAUACUCGUAUCUUAUUAUAAUAUUUGCUUUUAUACUGGUGCAUACUAAUAUUUAUUUAUAUAUAUUUAAAGUAGAACUUUCCGCAAUGAUCGUUAACAUCAACAGUCAAUUUUAGCAAAUUCAUACGUAACUUUAAUUAGUUACGAAUUAUUACUGCAAGCUAAGAUAUCGAAGCAUAUUCUCUAAUAUAGAAAGUUUUUGUAUUCUGACGAUGCUUUAAAAAUUGUGGAAUAUACGUUUAUAUGUUGAAAUUAAUAUUUUGCUAUUUUUUAAAUAUAAGAAUAGGUAGACAGAUAUCAUACUUUUCUAUGUGAUUGUAAUACUAAUUUAAUUUUAAUUCUAAACAGAUAUGGCCGGUAAGACGCAGGUUGUAAUUACACAUUCCUAUCUUCAGGAAUAUGCAAUUUCAGUAAAUUUUAGAAUUUUUCAGUAUGCUCGUUUUUUUUUCAUAUUUUGCUAAUAUGUAAUAUUAAACAGUUUAAAAGCUCUUGAAUUUGUUAAAAAAUUUAUUUCUAUAAAUCUGAACAAAUUUGUAAAUGUAUCCCAUCCUUAUUGUUAAAUAUAUUAACAUUUCGCACUAUUGUCUUGUUUAGAAUAUGUAACUAUUUAUAUAUGUAUAAUAAUGUAAAAAUAAUAGAAGUAUUAAAGUAAAAUAGUAUAGUCAUGAGAUGCGAAGAGUUAAUAAUAAAUUUUUCGAUUGGAUUGAAUAUCAUCUGAGGAAUUCGAGUAAAUCAGUAUAUAUAAAUGGGUAUAAUGGAUUUUUUCGUUUUAUUUAUCGUUGAGAAACUAGGAUAGUUUAUUGAAUAUAUAAUAGCUUUUUAUUUUUAGUUUCUUGUUCUUUUUUUUUUUUUUU